Small nuclear RNA from Octodon degus (degu), 107 nucleotides. The record is from Ensembl. NCBI's taxonomy places the organism in Eukaryota, Metazoa, Chordata, Mammalia, Rodentia, Octodontidae.
GUGCUUGCUUUGGCAGCACAUGUACUAACAUUGGAAUGAUACAGAGAAGAUUAGGAUGGUCCCUGUGCAAAGACAACAUGCAAAGUUGUGAUGCAUUAAAAAAAAAA